This 232-nucleotide ribosomal RNA is filed under the name uncultured bacterium. RNAcentral describes it as "partial 16S ribosomal RNA". It matches the Rfam family "Bacterial small subunit ribosomal RNA", at positions 99 to 334 of the family's 1533-position model. The record is from RNAcentral.
CGGACGGGUGAGUAAUGUAUAGGAACUUGCCUAGUAUGGGGGACAACGUGUGGAACGCACGCUAAUACCGCAUACGCUCUACGGAGGAAAGCGGGGGAUCUUCGGACCUCGUGCUACUAGAUGGGGCCUAUAUUGGAUUAGCUAGUUGGUAGGGUAUAGGGCCUACCAAGGCGACGAUCCAUAGCUGGUUUGAGAGAAUGAUCAGCCACACUGGGACUGAGACACGGCCCAG